GCUCAAAAUUAAAAUCUGGCAGGACUUGAUCUUGUCCGAAUUGUAGUUUAAAGAAGCGUUUUCGGGGGUGGCUGGGGUCCAAGCCAUUGGAAUGUGGCGCCAUAGAGGGUGAUAGCCCCGUACGGCCCUGCACCCACUCCUAUAUAUACGUUUUCUAAGAGUCGUAUAGCUUGAGAAUGCUGUGCUAAGAUGGGAGGUAAAUACCUUCUAAAGCUAAAUACUGGCGAGAGACCGAUAGCGAACAAGUACCGUGAGGGAAAGUUGCAAAGAACUUUGAAAAGAGAGUUAAACAGUACGUGAAAUUGUCCAAAGGGAAACGCUUCGACACCCUCGCGCGGGGCCCAGUCAUCAGCCUUAGUUUUUACUGGGGCGCAUUGGCUCGGUGCUCUGGCAGAAGGUAGGUUAGCUUUGGGGUAGAAAGCCGGUGGAAGGUAGCUGUUACUCAGUGUUAUAGCCGCUGGUCGAUGCCCUGAAGUUGACCGAGGACUCUUGCUGCCACCUUGGGGAAGCAGCCUCCUUUCUCGAACGGCUGAAAAACAACCUAGUUGAUUUUCAGUUUGUUUCGGGGUGAGAAAGGUUGUGUACCACUUUGUGUGCAUAGGAUCUUCUGAGAACGGUUCGAAGCGACCCGUCUUGAAACACGGACCAAGGAGUCCAACACACAGGCGAGUCUUUGGGUGUCAAACCCUUGGGCGAAAUGAAAGUAAUUUCUCAGGUGCCACUCCUGUCAUAGGGACGCAGCAUCGGCCGGAUCUCGAGGUUUACCAAAGGAUCGAGUAGGAGCCUGUUUGUUGGGACCCGAAAGAUGAUGAACUAUACUUGAGUAGGGUGAAGUCAGAGG
Molecule: ribosomal RNA, 841 nt
Filed under: Entophlyctis sp. PL156
Lineage: Eukaryota; Fungi; Chytridiomycota; Chytridiomycetes; Chytridiales; Chytriomycetaceae
Description: eukaryotic LSU rRNA
Rfam family: Eukaryotic large subunit ribosomal RNA
Source: RNAcentral